RNAcentral lists this long non-coding RNA (1000 nucleotides) under Ananas comosus (pineapple). RNAcentral describes it as "long non-coding RNA (ACOM_LNC028817)". The record is from RNAcentral. Lineage: Eukaryota; Viridiplantae; Streptophyta; Magnoliopsida; Poales; Bromeliaceae.
AUUAGUGGCUUGAUUUGUUUUAAAUUAAACUAACUAAUUUUUAAUUUGAAUUAUCUGUAGAGAUGGAAAAUUGAGAGUGAGCUAGAAUACUUUCAAAAGCACCAAAGAGGUGGUGCUUUUGAGUUUUUAGCCUUUGGAUGAAAAAAUGUAGGGUUGGGAUGAUGGUGGUAGGUGGUGGUAGGUGGAAUAGUGUUUGAUCCAAAAGCUAUUAAUAAUUAAGGAGUAGAUCCAAGGGCUAAAAAGUUAGAACUAUCAAGGAGGUGGUGCUUCUAAAAGUAUUCUAGCUCAAUUCGAAAAUUGAGACCUAGUUUUGAAAAAAUAAAAUUUGGUUUGUGGAAACUUCAAAUCUUAUAAAUUACAUUUCAUGGUUUAUAGCCGCUCACUCGAAAUCCUUUUAUAAAAAACAACUUGGUAAUAUUGUAGCUAGAAUACUGUCGAUAGUAUUCUAUCCUAACUUUAAACUUUGGAUACAUACUUAUUAUAAUCACCUACUCUUUUACUAAUUAAUUUUCACUAUUUUACUAAUCCACCUCACAUAAUAAAUUUAACUCUGGGUAAAUUUUUCACAUGAACUUAUAAAAAAGAGUAUGUGAAAGAUCCUAAAGAUGAAGUUAAAUUUAUUAUCUAUAAGAGAAAAUUAAUAAGAUAACAAGAACAAACAAAAAAUGGGUAAUAACUUAAACUAUUUGUUGAAUUGGGAUUUCCAUUUCAUUCUUGUAAAAAUUUUUCUACUUUGAAAUAUUAAAAAUUGAUGUAACAAAUAAACUGCUUUAAAUUUUAUUAAACUACUAGUAGUUUAGUGGUAAGAUGUUUGAUAGUUGAUUUUGAGGUCAGGGGUUCGAACCUCUGUGUGUAGUCUAUUGAAAAUUAUAGAUUUCAACUUUAUAUUUUCAAAUAUUAUUACAAACGGUGGUUCGAGCCUCCGAUCUUAAAGUCGGCACUUAAAUAUCUUAUCACUUGCGAACUAGUAGUGUGGUUGAUUUUAAUUAUUUUUUAGUUU